Molecule: long non-coding RNA, 659 nt
Organism: Magallana angulata
Lineage: Eukaryota; Metazoa; Mollusca; Bivalvia; Ostreida; Ostreidae
Exons: 2
Source: RefSeq, a predicted model, not a curated record
UGUCUUUCUGCCUCCUCUUUUUAUACAGACUGGGACACGGGCUACUCCACAUGUAGAGGAGGAGCCUUUCCAGUAGCACCUUGGCUAGGGCACCCGCCAGGUGUGGGCAUGUUGGGAAUAAGAUCUCGAGGAUCAAAUUAAAUAUCAUAACACUCCAUAUAACUCCCUAGUGGAAUUUUAUAAAACAGUACUGAAAUCGUUAUGAUAUAGUAGUGGAGAAACCGGGAUCGAGCGUUAUGAUAUAGUGGUGGAAUCCGGGUUUCCAACUUGUCCUAGCCGCCCCACGGAAAAGCCAUCAACGACAUAACGGACACAAUUGGGACACAAACCUAAAGCAACAGCGCCUCCACAGCAUCGUCUGAUCAUUACCACGGACGCAAACAACGCCUGGGAUGCUCUUCAACACCCGGGACCGAAUCGAUUCCCUGGACGUAAUCAACGCUUACAGCAUAUCAACGCGGACGGAUACAACGCCCCGGACGCACAUCAGGUCCCGGACAUUAACAACGCACCGGAGAACCUCCCUAGCAUCAGCCAGGAAUAUGUAGCAACGAGAACUACAUGACACAGUACAAACAGCAGAUUUAUAUGUACGAGCCAUCUGAAUCACAGCGAAGAUCCGAAUAAAAUUCAAAAUUAUAUUAAAUGUUUUUAAUCUU